This 583-nucleotide ribosomal RNA is filed under the name uncultured Fusobacteriota bacterium. RNAcentral describes it as "bacterial SSU rRNA". It matches the Rfam family "Bacterial small subunit ribosomal RNA", at positions 120 to 720 of the family's 1533-position model. The record is from RNAcentral. Lineage: Bacteria; Fusobacteriati; Fusobacteriota.
AGGAACUUGCCUGCGGGACUGGGAUAACAGCAGGAAACUGCUGAUAAUACCGGAUAAGGUCAUUAAGCUGCAUAGCUUAGUGAUGAAAGGAGACGCCUGCGGAGAGCCUUGCGUCCUAUUAGCUAGUUGGAGGGGUAACGGCCCACCAAGGCGAAGAUAGGUAGCCGGCCUGAGAGGGUGGACGGCCACAAGGGGACUGAGAUACGGCCCUUACUCCUACGGGAGGCAGCAGUGGGGAAUAUUGGACAAUGGGGGCAACCCUGAUCCAGCAAUUCUGUGUGCACGAAGACGGUUUUCGGAUUGUAAAGUGCUUUCAGCAGGGAAGAAGGAAGUGACGGUACCUGCAGAAGAAGCGACGGCUAAAUACGUGCCAGCAGCCGCGGUAAUACGUAUGUCGCGAGCGUUAUCCGGAAUUAUUGGGCAUAAAGGGCAUCUAGGCGGCCUUUCAAGUCAGGGGUGAAAACCUGCGGCUCAACCGCAGGCCUGCCUUUGAAACUGAUAGGCUGGAGUACCGGAGAGGUGGACGGAACUGCACGAGUAGAGGUGAAAUUCGUAGAUAUGUGCAGGAAUGCCGAUGAUGAAG